CAGUCGCCACGGUAAUGCGUAGGUGGCAAGCGUUGUCCGGAAUUAUUGGGCGUAAAGGGCUCGCAGGCGGUUUCUUAAGUCUGAUGUGAAAGCCCCCGGCUCAACCGGGGAGGGUCAUUGGAAACUGGGAAACUUGAGUGCAGAAGAGGAGAGUGGAAUUCCACGUGUAGCGGUGAAGUGCGUAGAGAUGUGGAGGAACACCAGUGGCGAAGGCGACUCUCUGGUCUGUAACUGACGCUGAGGAGCGAAAGCGUGGGGAGCGAACAGGAUUAGAUACCCCGGUAGUCCCUGUCUCUUAUAC
Molecule: ribosomal RNA, 301 nt
Filed under: uncultured bacterium
Lineage: Bacteria
Description: partial 16S ribosomal RNA
Rfam family: Bacterial small subunit ribosomal RNA
Source: RNAcentral